Molecule: ribosomal RNA, 129 nt
Filed under: uncultured bacterium
Lineage: Bacteria
Description: partial 16S ribosomal RNA
Rfam family: Bacterial small subunit ribosomal RNA
Source: RNAcentral
UUCCCGGGCCUUGUACACACCGCCCGUCACACCAUGAGAGUUGGAGAUACCCGAAGCCUAUGAGCUAACAUAUAGAGGCAGCAGUCGAAGGUAGAAUCAAUGAUUGGGGUGAAGUCGUAACAAGGUAUC